GCAUCCUUAGUUUUCCUAGUUAGCAUAUUCUAACUCUCCUCGAGUGACUCCAGAGUCCUUCAGUAAUAAAACAAAAAAUGGCCCCGGAAGUACCUCUUGAUGUUUUUGCUUCCACUGGUAAGGUCCCUAAACUCGACUCAAAAAAGGCAUUUGUGACUUUUUUAGCAGGUACUGGUGACUAUGUUAAGGGUGUGGUUGGAUUGGUUAAGGGUUUGAGAAAUGUUAAGAGUGCCUACCCUCUAGUGGUUGCAAUCUUGCCUGACGUGCCUGAAGAGCAUAGAGAAAUAUUGAGGUCUCAAGGUUGCAUUGUUCGAGAAAUCGAACCUAUUUACCCACCUCAGAAUCAAAUUCAAUUUGCCAUGGCUUACUAUGUCAUCAACUACUCCAAACUGCGUAUAUGGAAUGUAAGUCUUUUUUCCUUGCAUGUACAAAGUUCCAAUUCUUUUGUGCAUCGGUUAAAUUCUAUUAGAUGUCCUCCCAAGGCAUGAGGUUUUUAUUCUUUAUAGAGCCCUAGAUAAAAAAUUGUAGAUUCCUAAAUUAAUCACACCUUUUAUUGUAGAUGUUACAUGCAUAAAGAUUGAUUAAGCAAUCUAUAAAAAAACAAGAAGAUACUCAAUGAUGUCAUGCAACCUAUGAGAAAGAAUAAAAAAUCUUUAGUUACAUGCAUGUAUUUCUCAUGCAACUAGGGACGACAAAUAAGCCAGUUGGCUUAGCCCCAAAAAGAUCGAGCCAGUUGAGGUCGGGACUUGGUAGAAUCGAGUCAAGGCUCAAGCCAAGCCUAAAUUUCGGGACUUGGCUCUAGCUUGGGCUGUGACCCAUGUCAUAGGCUUGGCCCGACCUGUUGCCAACCUUCAAUUUUUUUUGUUUUGUUAAUAUUUAAUUUAAGAUUUAUAUCAAUAAAGUAUAACUUAUAUAUAAAUAUGCUUACAAAAUUAAUAUUCAUAAUUAUGCUACAUCUAUGCUUAUAAUUUAUUAUCAUAUUCUUUAGUAUUCCCUUUAUGUUUUAUUCAUAUAAAUUUUAAAUUUUGUUAUGCAAGAGUUAAUAUAAUAUUUGUUGUUAUCUUGUGAUGUUGAAACUUAAAAGACGUUUUCUAUUCCAAUAUUUUUUAUUCUACAAGUAAAUAUCAUGAUAUUUAUACACCUAAAAAUUAUACUCUAAUUUAUAUAUUCUAGUAUCUAUAUGAAUAUUUUUUUUUAUUGUAUUUUAGUUGAGAAGAAGAACUUGUUUGAAUUCUUUAUAUGAAUAUUUCAUGAAUUAAAAAAAAUUCGUGAGCCGGCUCGGCUCAAUGAAGCUUGAGUUAAACCUCCAAAUUUCGGUCGGGUUUUGGCUCAAUUAGGCUCACAAUAAAAAAGCUUGAGCCUUUUUAUUUUUUAUUUUUUGAUCGGGUUGUGCAUGAGCCACAACCUUUGGCUUGUGAGUUGGCUUGACCCGACUCGUCGACACCCUUAAUCAUGCAUCUUGCACUAAAAUCUUUCUAUUUUUGUCUUUUUUUAAAAUUCGGCCAGUAGAGUAAAUUUGCUUUGAAAUAUCCAAGAACCCAUAUAUAGGAUAUAGCAUGCAUGAACUUAAAAAGGUGUAUGAUCAUGAUAGGAUAAGAACAACCCGUCGAGAUGGGUGAUUAUUUAAAAAAAUAAAAUAAAAAAAAUUCACCCACCCCUGCAUGAGUGAGUGGCCUGUAUAGCCAGCUCGAUUGAACAAAUAUUUAUUGUCUUAAGCUCUUAUGCCUCAGACUACGACUCAUACCAAAAAUUUUAGAGAAAUUUCUGAAAAUUGUGUAUUAUAGUGGAAAAUCGUUAUAUUGUCCAAAUUUAUUUUUCCUUACAAAAACUAUGAAUAAUUUUUUUAUUUUUCUUUUCAUGUACAUUCAAUCACAGUUUGUCGAGUACAGCAAAAUGGUGUAUGUCGAUGCAGACAUUCAAGUUUAUGAAAACAUUGACCAUUUGUUGGACACCCCAGAUGGAUAUUUCUAUGCUGUAAUGGAUUGCUUCUGUGAGAAAACAUGGAGUCAUUCCAAACAAUAUUCAAUUGGGUACUGCCAACAGUGCCCUAAUAAGGUUAAUUGGCCUGCUGAUGAACUGGGUUCCCCUCCUCCACUCUAUUUCAAUGCUGGAUUUUUUGUGUAUGAGCCUAGCAAAGUAACUUAUGAAAAUCUGCUUCAAACUCUCCAAGUCACUCCACCAACACCAUUUGCUGAGCAGGUAUAUAUGUUCGACUUAUUAAGUAAAAGUUUACUUAUUUUAAAAGUAACUCCUAUCUUAACAAAAAACUUCUUAUACAAAUCACAGGAUUUCUUAAACAAGUUCUUUGAAAAAGUCUACAAGCCUAUCCCUCUGAUAUACAACCUGGUUCUGGCAAUGCUGUGGCAACACCCAGAGAACGUUGAACUCAAAAAAGUUAAAGUUGUUCACUACUGUGCUGCUGUAAGUACUUUCUUAGUAGACCAAAGUGUGCAGUAUAUUCAGACUCUGCGUUCGAACACAAACAUGCUACAGUGUUAGAAUCAUUGAUAUAAUAGUUGACAUAAUAACACACGUAUUAUUAUGGGACUGUGUUUUACACAGUCAUCUUUUCUAUCAAAUAAUUUUUCACCACAUAGGAAUCUGCCGCUGCUUCUAUCACCAUUGAUCUGACAAAGUAGCAUAAUCCUUCUGAAAAACGUGUUUCUAAUCUGAUUAACAAUACCAUAUUCAGGGAUCGAAGCCAUGGAGGUAUACCGGUGUUGAAGCAAACAUGCAGAGAGAAGACAUUAAGAUGCUAGUGAAGAAAUGGUGGGAUAUAUAUAAUGAUGCUUCACUUGAUUUUAAGGCUGAAGAGACUACAGAAGAAGGGACUAUCUCAAAAUCAUCAAUCUUGGCUUCUUUGCCUGAGCCUGCAGUUUCCUACAUUCCUGCUCCUUCGGCUGCUUAGAAAUAAGCAAUUAUCUCUUCAAAUUAAGUUGGUUUGGACUUUUAUUACAUACUGC
RNAcentral lists this long non-coding RNA (2963 nucleotides) under Olea europaea (common olive). RNAcentral's name for it is "long non-coding RNA (OEUR_LNC004166)". The record is from RNAcentral. Lineage: Eukaryota; Viridiplantae; Streptophyta; Magnoliopsida; Lamiales; Oleaceae.